This 77-nucleotide transfer RNA is filed under the name Tissierellia bacterium. RNAcentral describes it as "tRNA-His". It matches the Rfam family "tRNA". Rfam says of the family: Transfer RNA (tRNA) molecules are approximately 80 nucleotides in length. Their secondary structure includes four short double-helical elements and three loops (D, anti-codon, and T loops). Further hydrogen bonds mediate the characteristic L-shaped molecular structure. tRNAs have two regions of fundamental functional importance: the anti-codon, which is responsible for specific mRNA codon recognition, and the 3' end, to which the tRNAs corresponding amino acid is attached (by aminoacyl-tRNA synthetases). tRNAs cope with the degeneracy of the genetic code in two manners: having more than one tRNA (with a specific anti-codon) for a particular amino acid; and 'wobble' base-pairing, i.e. permitting non-standard base-pairing at the 3rd anti-codon position. The record is from RNAcentral. Lineage: Bacteria; Bacillati; Bacillota; Tissierellia.
GUGGGUAUAGCUCAGUUGGUUAGAGUGCCAGGUUGUGGCCCUGGAGGUCGUGAGUUCGAAUCUCAUUACUCACCCCA